UUGUCUGAGCUGAAGUCAUAAUCAAUUCAGUGUAUAUCACGACAGGUCCCUUUUACAACUCUGGUGGAACAGACUGAUGUCUUUCAGAAGAUUCAAUACAUUCAUAAAUCAACAUCAGACAUUUCCAGCAUAAUAGAGGAAAUUGGAACAAUUUCAUUAACUGCUACACUGAAAGACUCACCAUAGGUGGAAUGCAUCUCACAAAUCUCUGCCACUAAAAGAAUUCUACAACCGUAUCCUUUUAUUUUUGUUUUUGUUUGUUUGUUUCUAAGCCCUAGUGGUCUGUGAUGAGGAGAUCACAUGAAGAUGGAAAUGAGAUGUUUUAAUUAACUGCAAUGUGUAGAUCAAUGGUCUGAAACAAAGAUUCAUACCACUACAAUUGGCAGCUGAAUUUUCUCUCUCCUGGAAUCACCUUCCUCUUCUAAUGCUUGGAAAUGGAAAUAUAGGGAUUAAAAUGUAGUCAUUAUGCACCUGGAAGCCCUUGAGGAAAUUGUGGUAUUGAGCAACCGACAGGCGAUCUGUUAAAGCAUCUCGAAGAGCACUGGAAAAAGGGCCUUCAGGAGUGAGCAAUUCUCUUUCAGCUGAGGAGGAUCCCAUCAGUGCUACUCCUAGACCAGCCAAAAGAACUUAGCACAGCAGCAAAGGCAUUCCCCUGGCUCUGUCUGUGGCUUCUGCAAGCUAGAGGGUACUGGAAUGAGGAAACUGGGGAAGGCGACUCUGAUGUAGUGGGGGACAACAGAUGAAGAUCCUGGAAGGGGAGCCUGGGAUGAGGCUCCAGAAGGAGUGAUGGCUGGGACUGGCCAGGUGCAGAGCCUGGGACAAAGAUUCAGGAAUGAGAACCCUGCCUCAUGUAAUGCACAGGAUGGACUUGCUCUGGGGAUGAAUCAGGGUUAUGUAGUGAAGGAAUCCGUGUCUUGUCUGGUGCAGAAAUUGAAAGUAGGUUGACAUUUUGCAGGACAAUACAUCACCAUGAAGGUAACAGAUCCGGGUUUCAGGGAGCCUCCUUAACAGCCGUCCCAUAAAGAACUCGCUUCCAAAAUCCUCCGUGCGAACAAAUGCUCCAUAUUUCAGGAAUCCCACCUCAUAAGGAGUGAACUCAACCCAUUCUGCAAACAGACCCACAAAAAAGACAUUUAGAAACGUCUCCCAAAUGACUGGAAAGAGAGAAAC
This is a long non-coding RNA of Mauremys reevesii (Reeves's turtle), 1170 nucleotides long. RefSeq lists it as uncharacterized. The record is from RefSeq and is a predicted model, not a curated record. The transcript has 6 exons. Lineage: Eukaryota; Metazoa; Chordata; Testudines; Geoemydidae.